CCUACGGGCGGCAGCAGUCGAGAAUCAUUCACAAUGGGGGAAACCCUGAUGGGGCGACGCCGCGUGGGGGAAUGAAGGUCUUCGGAUUGUAAACCCCUGUCAUGUGGGAGAAAAUUAAAAAGAUAGUACCACAAGAGGAAGAGACGGCUAACUCUGUGCCAGCAGCCGCGGUAAUACAGAGGUCGCAAGCGUGGGUCGGAAUCACUGGGCGUAAAGCGUGCGGAGGCUGUUUCGUAAGUCGGGUGUGAAAGGCGCGGGCUCAACCCGCGGACUGCACAUGAUACUGCGAGACUAGAGUACUGGAGGGGUAACCGGAAUUCUCGGUGUAGCAGUGAAAUGCGUAGAUAUCGUGAGGAACACUCGUGGCGAAGGCGGGUUCCUGGACAUUAACUGACGCUGAGGCACGAAGGCCAGGGGAGCGAACGGGAUUAGAUACCCGAGUAGUC
RNAcentral lists this ribosomal RNA (446 nucleotides) under uncultured bacterium. RNAcentral's name for it is "partial 16S ribosomal RNA". It matches the Rfam family "Bacterial small subunit ribosomal RNA", at positions 338 to 795 of the family's 1533-position model. The record is from RNAcentral.